GGGGAUGACUGGAAUUGACAUCAAGUCUAAUAUUUUGAUAAGCAUGUCGAGAUUUGUGUUUUAACUCGAAAAAUUAAAACUCAUUUUUUUAAACGGCGAACAUAAUUACGCUUACGCUUAAUUAGUCAAGGAUUAAUUAACGUAUGUCUCUUUAUAGGAUUGUUUGACUCCUAUAUUAAUGAGGCAUCGAAAAGUCAGACUAGCUUUAAAUACUCCUAAUAUUUAAAGUGAAUUUUUUUAGGAUAAGGUUAAUAUUGGGCGAACUAUUCCUGUGUUAGCUCUAAAACUAAAUAGUUCUAAACAUGUAGAAAUUCAUUAUAUUCCUUGUUUGGACCAGGGUUCGAAUCCCUGCAUCUCCACCA
This 362-nucleotide transfer-messenger RNA is filed under the name Flavobacteriales. RNAcentral describes it as "GCA-2718035 sp002718035 Standard tmRNA". It matches the Rfam family "transfer-messenger RNA". Rfam says of the family: Bacterial tmRNA, also known as 10Sa RNA or SsrA, is named for its dual tRNA and mRNA-like properties. Lineage: Bacteria; Pseudomonadati; Bacteroidota; Flavobacteriia. The record is from RNAcentral. RNAcentral also lists the same sequence under 2 other names.